Molecule: long non-coding RNA, 553 nt
Organism: Manacus vitellinus (golden-collared manakin)
Lineage: Eukaryota; Metazoa; Chordata; Aves; Passeriformes; Pipridae
Exons: 3
Source: RefSeq, a predicted model, not a curated record
GGCACCUGCCACACAGGUGGGGCCGCAGGUGUCGUGUGUGCCAUGCCCAAAGGUGUGCCCCCCACCUGUGCACCCCUGGUGGCCCUGCUGGGGGUGCUGACGUCACUCAGUGGGGUCCUGCUCUGGCUCACCUUGAGGACCAGGUGUGUGGGAGAAGCCCCAGGUAAAGGUCACCUAGGGGCCAUUUACCUGCCCAGGAGGGUCCCCCCUGAGGAGGUGGAGACACUGCAGCUCAUCAAGGACGAUGCCCCCUGAUCUCACCUGUCACCUCUCGCCUGCCCCCCCCAAACAUACCUGGGGGGGCUCAGGUGUCCCCACACACCUAGGGCAGGUGAAGGGGAGCAAAAAAAGUGGGAAAAUGGGGUGGAAAUUAAUAAAAUUGGGGUUUUCAGCCAUCCAGGUGAGACAGGUGUGAAUUCUGGGGGGAGGGGGGAUUGACCCUCCAGGUGUGAAUUUUGGGGGGUCCCCAAACCCUCCAGGUGUGAAAUCAGGUGAGAACACCAAUGAUGUCAUUAAUUAACCAUUCUUUAAUUAGCAUAUGCCCCGCCCAGGU